GAAUCAUUCACAAUCGGCGCAAGCCUGAUGAUGCAACGCCGCGUGGGGGAUGAAGGCCCUAGGGUUGUAAACCCCUGUCACUGAGGAGCAAAGCCUAGAUUCAUAGUCUAGUUUGAGUUAACUCAGAGAGGAAGCAGUGGCAAACUCCGUGCCAGCAGCCGCGGUAAUACGGAGACUGCAAGCGUUACUCGGAAUUACUGGGCGUAAAGGGUGCGCAGGCAGCUAGGUGUGUCAGAUGUGAAAUCUCGAGGCUUAACUUCGUGGCUGCGUUUGAGACUGCCUGGCUACAGUUUUGGAGAGGCAGGCGGAAUUUCUGGUGUAGCGGUGGAAUGCGUAGAUAUCAGAAGAAACACCAAUGGCGAAGGCAGCUUGCUGGACAAAUACUGACGCUCAUGCACGAAAGCGUGGGGAGCAAAAAGGAUUAGAUACCCUUGUAGUCCACGCCGUAAACUUUGUACACUCGAUUUUUAGACAUUCGACCGUUUCAGAGUCUAAGCUAACGCGAUAAGUGUACCGCCUGAGGACUACGGUCGCAAGACUAAAACUCAAAGGAAUUGACGGGACCCGCACAAGCGGUGGAGCAUGUGGCUUAAUUCGAUGUUACGCCAAGAACCUUACCUAGGCUUGACAUACACUGGACAGUUUGCGAAAGCAAAUCUUCCUUCGGGACCGGUGAACAGGUGCUGCAUGGCUGUCGUCAGCUCGUGUCGUGAGAUGUUCGGUUAAGUCCGACAACGAGCGCAACCCUUGUCUUUAGUUGCCAGCGGGUAAUGCCGGGGACUCUAGAGAGACAAACGGUUCAGGUGGGAAGGAGAGGAUGACGUCAAGUCAGCAUGGCCCUUACGUCUAGGGCUGCACACGUGCUACAAUGCCCAGUACAAUGAGAAGCAAUCUCGCGAGGGGGAGCAAAUCUAUAAAACUGGGCCAGUUCAGAUUGAAGUCUGCAAUUCUACUUCAUGAAGUCGGAAUCGCUAGUAA
Molecule: ribosomal RNA, 978 nt
Filed under: uncultured Verrucomicrobiota bacterium
Lineage: Bacteria; Pseudomonadati; Verrucomicrobiota
Description: bacterial SSU rRNA
Rfam family: Bacterial small subunit ribosomal RNA
Source: RNAcentral